RNAcentral lists this non-coding RNA (21 nucleotides) under Caenorhabditis elegans. Lineage: Eukaryota; Metazoa; Nematoda; Chromadorea; Rhabditida; Rhabditidae. The record is from RNAcentral.
UUGAAUAUUCGUGGUGAAAGU